RNAcentral lists this ribosomal RNA (207 nucleotides) under uncultured bacterium. Its description in RNAcentral is "partial 16S ribosomal RNA". It matches the Rfam family "Bacterial small subunit ribosomal RNA", at positions 568 to 774 of the family's 1533-position model. The record is from RNAcentral.
CACGUAGGCGGGUAUUUAAGUCAGGGGUGAAAUCCCAGAGCUCAACUCUGGAACUGCCUUUGAUACUGGGUACCUAGAGUAUGGAAGAGGUGAGUGGAAUUCCGAGUGUAGAGGUGAAAUUCGUAGAUAUUCGGAGGAACACCAGUGGCGAAGGCGGCUCACUGGUCCAUUACUGACGCUGAGGUGCGAAAGCGUGGGGAGCAAACA